This 846-nucleotide ribosomal RNA is filed under the name uncultured bacterium. Its description in RNAcentral is "bacterial SSU rRNA". It matches the Rfam family "Bacterial small subunit ribosomal RNA", at positions 1 to 848 of the family's 1533-position model. The record is from RNAcentral.
UAGAGUUUGAUCAUGGCUCAGAUUGAACGCUGGCGGCAGGCCUAACACAUGCAAGUCGAGCGGUAGAGAGAAGCUUGCUUCUCUUGAGAGCGGCGGACGGGUGAGUAAUGCCUAGGAAUCUGCCUGGUAGUGGGGGAUAACGUUCGGAAACGGACGCUAAUACCGCAUACGUCCUACGGGAGAAAGCAGGGGACCUUCGGGCCUUGCGCUAUCAGAUGAGCCUAGGUCGGAUUAGCUAGUUGGUGGGGUAAUGGCUCACCAAGGCGACGAUCCGUAACUGGUCUGAGAGGAUGAUCAGUCACACUGGAACUGAGACACGGUCCAGACUCCUACGGGAGGCAGCAGUGGGGAAUAUUGGACAAUGGGCGAAAGCCUGAUCCAGCCAUGCCGCGUGUGUGAAGAAGGUCUUCGGAUUGUAAAGCACUUUAAGUUGGGAGGAAGGGUUGUAGAUUAAUACUCUGCAAUUUUGACGUUACCGACAGAAUAAGCACCGGCUAACUCUGUGCCAGCAGCCGCGGUAAUACAGAGGGUGCAAGCGUUAACCGGAAUUACUGGGCGUAAAGCGCGCGUAGGUGGUUUGUUAAGUUGGAUGUGAAAUCCCCGGGCUCAACCUGGGAACUGCAUUCAAAACUGACUGACUAGAGUAUGGUAGAGGGUGGUGGAAUUUCCUGUGUAGCGGUGAAAUGCGUAGAUAUAGGAAGGAACACCAGUGGCGAAGGCGACCACCUGGACUAAUACUGACACUGAGGUGCGAAAGCGUGGGGAGCAAACAGGAUUAGAUACCCUGGUAGUCCACGCCGUAAACGAUGUCAACUAGCCGUUGGGAGCCUUGAGCUCUUAGUGGCG